Molecule: unclassified non-coding RNA, 548 nt
Filed under: Hevea brasiliensis (rubber tree)
Lineage: Eukaryota; Viridiplantae; Streptophyta; Magnoliopsida; Malpighiales; Euphorbiaceae
Source: RNAcentral
ACCGUUUAUGAUGCUUUUAGAUCUUUCUAUUAUUCAACUAAUUAAAAAUGUUUUAAGUUUUUAUGGAUGCGUAAAAUAGCCUUAACCUCAAAAUGCGAACUCCAUCAUAGCCAAAAUAAUUUGAGAUUACAAAGCUGUUCUUUCAUUUCCUUCUGGGCUCGAAUCAAUGCCGUGUGUACAAUAAACUCCAAGAAAAUAGGUAGAGGAUCACAUCAGGAUCCAGUUUUGGAUUUGACAAAUGAAAUGCCAGACCAAAACCAGCACCUCUCAGGGCCACUAACCUGGGAUAUGUCAAGCUCUAAAGAAUGGUAAAUUAUGAACACCCUGCAAUUAGUGAAAGUGACCUUAUCACUUGUCAAAAACAAGCCCCAUGAAGCUCUAUGACCAUGAAUUGAAGAUUUCAACAACUAUCACCUAAACGAGCCUAUGAGAAUUAAUUCAACUCAUCAGACCCAGGCGUCCAAUACAUAAAAAUAGAAGACCUUACAUCAAUGAAGGUAAACACAUUUUCUUACCAACUUCAAUGGUAGAUGCUUCAAAUGUAUUAG